Molecule: ribosomal RNA, 784 nt
Filed under: uncultured bacterium
Lineage: Bacteria
Description: bacterial SSU rRNA
Rfam family: Bacterial small subunit ribosomal RNA
Source: RNAcentral
AGUCGAACGGAGAUACAAGGGCUUGCCCUUGUAUCUUAGUGGCGGACGGGCGAGUAACGCGUGAGGAACCUGCCCUUCAGUGGGGAAUAACGGCUGGAAACGGUCGCUAAUACCGCAUGACACAUUGGUACCGCAUGAUACUGAUGUCAAAGGAGCAAUCCGCUGAAGGAUGGCCUUGCGUCCGAUUAGCUAGUUGGUGGGGUAACGGCCUACCAAGGCGACGAUUGGUAGCCGAACUGAGAGGUUGAUCGGCCGCAUUGGGACUGAGACACGGCCCAGACUCCUACGGGAGGCAGCAGUGGGGGAUAUUGGUCAAUGGGGGAAACCCUGAACCAGCAACGCCGCGUGAGGGAAGACGGCCUUCGGGUUGUAAACCUAAGUGAUCAGGGACGAAGGAAGUGACGGUACCUGAAAAGCAAGCUCCGGCUAACUACGUGCCAGCAGCCGCGGUAAUACGUAGGGAGCGAGCGUUGUCCGGAUUUACUGGGUGUAAAGGGUGCGUAGGCGGGAAAGCAAGUCAGGUGUGAAAUACCGGGGCUCAACUCCGGGGCUGCGCUUGAAACUGUUUUUCUUGAGUGAAGUAGAGGCAGGCGGAAUUCCUAGUGUAGCGGUGGAAUGCGUAGAUAUUAGGAGGAACACCAGUGGCGAAGGCGGCCUGCUGGGCUUUAACUGACGCUGAGGCACGAAAGCAUGGGGAGCAAACAGGAUUAGAUACCCUGGUAGUCCAUGCUGUAAACGAUGAUUGCUAGGUGUGGGGGGACUGACCCCUUCCGUGCCGGAGUAA